GAAUGAACCAUCAGCUCUGUAUCUGGAGAGAGCCUUUAUGGGUUUACCUGGAAGACCAUUCGGCAGCCAUGUGGUAUUUGCUCCAAGCAGCCAUAAUAAAUAUGAAGGACUGUCUUUCCCCGUUAUCUACGACGCAUUGUUGGACAUUGAGCGCUCAGCGAACCAAGAGAAGGUUUGGAAUGAAGUUAAACGACAAAUUAGCAUAGAAGCAUUCACAGUCCAUGCUGCUGCCAUGACACUUGAACCGCCUGGAUGAUGCACACAUGAGAUAAGAUGAGCCAGAGACUUUGUCAAACUUAAUGUGCCUUGACUGAAUAAAAGAUUGGACUCACUGAAAAUGUAA
This is a long non-coding RNA of Syngnathus acus (greater pipefish), 343 nucleotides long. RefSeq lists it as uncharacterized. The transcript has 2 exons. The record is from RefSeq and is a predicted model, not a curated record. NCBI's taxonomy places the organism in Eukaryota, Metazoa, Chordata, Actinopteri, Syngnathiformes, Syngnathidae.